This 29-nucleotide small RNA is filed under the name Bombyx mori (domestic silkworm). Its description in RNAcentral is "ovarian small RNA-34291". The record is from RNAcentral. Lineage: Eukaryota; Metazoa; Arthropoda; Insecta; Lepidoptera; Bombycidae.
UGCUUCUGCUGGUGGUAACUUGAUACGGU